UGGCUUUUUGAGUUUUGAAUU
This 21-nucleotide non-coding RNA is filed under the name Rattus norvegicus (Norway rat). The record is from RNAcentral. Lineage: Eukaryota; Metazoa; Chordata; Mammalia; Rodentia; Muridae.